CCAGCAGCCGCGGUAAUACGUAGGUGGCAAGCGUUGUCCGGAAUUACUGGGCGUAAAGGGCGAGUAGGCGGUUCCGGCCGUCAGAUGUGAAAGGCAAGGGCUCAACCCUUGGACAGCAUUUGAAACACCGGAACUUGAGUGCGGUAGAGGAAAGUGGAAUUCCCAGUGUAGCGGUGAAAUGCGUAGAUAUUGGGAGGAACACCAGUGGCGAAGGCGACUUUCUGGGCCGUAACUGACGCUGAGGCGCGAAAGCGUGGGGAGCAAACAGGAUUAGAUACCCUGGUAGUCCACGCCGUAAACGAUGGAUGCUAGGUGUGGGAGGUAUCGACCCCUUCCGUGCCGGAGUAAACGCAAUAAGCAUCCCGCCUGGGGAGUACGACCGCAAGGUUGAAACUCAAAGGAAUUGACGGGGGCCCGCACAAGCAGCGGAGCGUGUGGUUUAAUUCGAAGCAACGCGAAGAACCUUACCAAGGCUUGACAUCCCCCGCUAUCUCAGGAAACUGAGAGUUCCCUUCGGGGACGGGGAGACAGGUGGUGCACGGUUGUCGUCAGCUCGUGUCGUGAGAUGUUGGGUUAAGUCCCGCAACGAGCGCAACCCUUGUACUUAGUUGCCAGCAUUGAGUUGGGCACUCUAGGUAGACUGCCGGUGACAAACCGGAGGAAGGUGGGGAUGACGUCAAAUCAUCAUGCCCCUUAUGUCUUGGGCUACACACGCGCUACAAUGGUCUGUACAAAGGGAAGCGAGGUCGCGAGACGGAGCGGAUCCCAUAAAACAGAUCUCAGUUCAGAUUGCAGGCUGCAACUCGCCUGCAUGAAGUCGGAGUUGCUAGUAAUCGCGGAUCAGAACGCCGCGGUGAAUGCGUUCCCGGGCCUUGUACACACCGCCCGUCACACCACGAAAGUCUGCAACACCCGAAGUCGGUGAGCGAACCUGCAAAGGAGGCAGCCGCCGAAGGUGAGGCCGGUAAUUGGGGUGAAGUCGUAACAAGGUA
Molecule: ribosomal RNA, 992 nt
Filed under: uncultured Alkalibacter sp.
Lineage: Bacteria; Bacillati; Bacillota; Clostridia; Eubacteriales; Eubacteriaceae
Description: bacterial SSU rRNA
Rfam family: Bacterial small subunit ribosomal RNA
Source: RNAcentral